AAAGCAUACAAUGGCUGAAGUGGGAGGGGUCCAUGGUGGUGGACAUUCUUCAAUACUGUUCAUGUAAAAGUGGCAUAAAAACUAGCAGAAUGCGAUAUCUCAUCGUUUUCUGGCUUCUUGAAUGAAUAAGAGAAAAUGAGUCUGCGUGGGCUGAUCAACCUUGGGAACACGUGCUUCAUGAACUGCAUCGUGCAGGCCCUGACCCACACGCCACUUCUGCGGGACUUCUUCCUGUCUGACAGGCACCGCUGUGAGAUGCAGAGCCCCAGCUCCUGUCUGGUCUGUGAGAUGUCCUCACUGUUUCAGGAGUUUUACUCUGGACACCGGUCCCCUCACAUCCCGUAUAAGUUGCUGCACCUGGUGUGGACCCACGCGAGGCACCUGGCAGGCUACGAGCAGCAGGACGCCCACGAGUUCCUCAUCGCGGCCCUGGACGUGCUCCACCGACACUGCAAAGGUGAUGACAAUGGGAAGAAGGCCAACAACCCCAACCACUGCAACUGCAUCAUAGACCAGAUCUUCACAGGUGGAUUGCAGUCAGACGUCACCUGCCAAGUCUGCCA
RNAcentral lists this small RNA (563 nucleotides) under Pan troglodytes (chimpanzee). RNAcentral's name for it is "processed transcript". Lineage: Eukaryota; Metazoa; Chordata; Mammalia; Primates; Hominidae. The record is from RNAcentral.